UACGGAGGGUGCGAGCGUUGUUCGGAAUCGCUGGGCGUGAAGCGCGUGUAGGCGGCUUCUUAAGUCUGGUGUGAAAGCCCGGGGCUUACCCCCGGAAGGGCACUGGAGACUGGGAAGCUAGAGUACCGGAGAGGAGGGUUGAAUUCCUGGUGUAGCGGUGAAAUGCGUAGAUAUCAGGAGGAACACCGGUGGCGAAGGCGGCCCUCUGGACGGAUACUGACGCUGAGACGCGAAAGCGUGGGGAGCAAACAGG
This 253-nucleotide ribosomal RNA is filed under the name uncultured bacterium. RNAcentral describes it as "partial 16S ribosomal RNA". It matches the Rfam family "Bacterial small subunit ribosomal RNA", at positions 524 to 776 of the family's 1533-position model. The record is from RNAcentral.